RNAcentral lists this transfer RNA (76 nucleotides) under subsurface metagenome. RNAcentral describes it as "tRNA-Ile". It matches the Rfam family "tRNA". From Rfam's summary of the family: Transfer RNA (tRNA) molecules are approximately 80 nucleotides in length. Their secondary structure includes four short double-helical elements and three loops (D, anti-codon, and T loops). The record is from RNAcentral.
AGUCCCGUAGCUCAGCUUGGUUAGAGCGCUACACUGAUAAUGUAGAGGUCCCCAGUUCAAGUCUGGGCGGGACUAC